GAUGAACGCUGGCGGCGUGCCUAAUACAUGCAAGUCGAGCGAACAGACGAGGAGCUUGCUCCUCUGACGUUAGCGGCGGACGGGUGAGUAACACGUGGAUAACCUACCUAUAAGACUGGGAUAACUUCGGGAAACCGGAGCUAAUACCGGAUAAUAUAUUGAACCGCAUGGUUCAAUAGUUAAAGACGGUUUUGCUGUCACUUAUAGAUGGAUCCGCGCCGCAUUAGCUAGUUGGUAAGGUAACGGCUUACCAAGGCAACGAUGCGUAGCCGACCUGAGAGGGUGAUCGGCCACACUGGAACUGAGACACGGUCCAGACUCCUACGGGAGGCAGCAGUAGGGAAUCUUCCGCAAUGGGCGAAAGCCUGACGGAGAAACGCCGCGUGAGUGAUGAAGGUCUUCGGAUCGUAAAACUCUGUUAUUAGGGAAGAACAAAUGUGUAAGUAACUAUGCACGUCUUGACGGUACCUAAUCAGAAAGCCACGGCUAACUACGUG
RNAcentral lists this ribosomal RNA (497 nucleotides) under uncultured bacterium. Its description in RNAcentral is "partial 16S ribosomal RNA". It matches the Rfam family "Bacterial small subunit ribosomal RNA", at positions 28 to 507 of the family's 1533-position model. The record is from RNAcentral.